UGCGGAUUGGCUACCCGAUGGGGAUGGGAGGAGUCCAAAAUCAAAUCUACCACCUACGGAUUUAAAAGUCGUGGAGAGACUAAAUUGUCACAUCGAGAAAAUAUCCUUCCUCAGUGACAAGAUAGUAUAGAAACAGCACUGUUCUUCCUGAUUGUUAUUUACAUCUGGGUAAUCUCUGAGUUUCCUCCGUGUAGGCUUUUUACGCACAGCAGAAACGCGUGGAUUAAUACAAAUACUAAACUAGUUGGGGGAACAGAGAACGUGAAAAUGGACGAGAAGCCUCAAGUGGAGAGAUAUCAGAGAGAGAGAGAGAGAAAGAAUGGACCAGUCUGGAGAGGCUGAGAACAAUGCUGCUGCAGUGGCCACAACAUCAGCGUUGGGUGGAGAAAGCUGAGAUCCUGGAACACACCGUUCUCUUUCUCCAGAACACUGGCGAUGGGGACAGGAAGAAAGCUGAAGGUGAGGAGCAUUGAGGUCGCGGCUUAAGCUCAACUCGCUGCCCGGCACAACAC
This 512-nucleotide long non-coding RNA is filed under the name Oncorhynchus kisutch (coho salmon). RNAcentral's name for it is "lncRNA (ENSOKIG00005026622.1)". The record is from RNAcentral. Lineage: Eukaryota; Metazoa; Chordata; Actinopteri; Salmoniformes; Salmonidae.